Molecule: ribosomal RNA, 354 nt
Filed under: Paradorippe granulata
Lineage: Eukaryota; Metazoa; Arthropoda; Malacostraca; Decapoda; Dorippidae
Description: partial 12S ribosomal RNA
Source: RNAcentral
ACUAAUAUAAAAUAAUAUUUACCUUGUAUAAUUAAAAGUUAUGUUCUUGAAAAUAAAAAAAUUUGGCGGUAGUUUAAUCUUAUCAGAGGAAUCUGUUUUUUAAUCGACACAACGCGUUAAAUUUUACUUAUUUUUAAAAGGUUUGUAUACCGUCAUUUAAAUUGAUUUGGGAGAAAUCAAUUAAAAUUAAAAUUUUAAAUAAAUUAGAUCAAGGUGCAGCAUAUAAAUAAGAUAAAAUGGAUUACAAUAAUUUUAAAUUAUUUGAAUAAUUUUAUGAAUAUAAGGUUUGAAGGUGGAUUUGAUAGUAUAAUUAUUAUAAUAUAAUAAAAUAGAAGUUUUAGCUCUAAAUUAUGU